RNAcentral lists this ribosomal RNA (579 nucleotides) under fungal endophyte. RNAcentral's name for it is "eukaryotic LSU rRNA". The stretch from base 182 to 335 matches the Rfam family "5.8S ribosomal RNA". Lineage: Eukaryota; Fungi. The record is from RNAcentral.
CAUUAAAGAGUUCUAUAACUCCCAAACCCAUGUGAACAUACCUAACGUUGCCUCGGCAGGUCGCACCUACCUUGUAGCACCCUACCCUGUAGGGCCUACCCGGGAGGUGCGGGUAAGCCUGCCGGCGGCCCACCAAACUCUGUUUGAUAUUGAAUUCUGAACCUAUAACUAAAUAAGUUAAAACUUUCAACAACGGAUCUCUUGGUUCUGGCAUCGAUGAAGAACGCAGCGAAAUGCGAUAAGUAAUGUGAAUUGCAGAAUUCAGUGAAUCAUCGAAUCUUUGAACGCAUAUUGCGCCCAUUAGUAUUCUAGUGGGCAGGACCGUUCGAGCGUCAUUUCAACCCUUAAGCCUUCGUUGCUUAGUGUUGGGAGCCUACGGCAACGUAGCUCCUCAAAGUUAGUGGCGGAGUUGGUUCACACUCUAGACGUAGUAAUUUUUUAUCUCGCCUAUUAGUUGGACUAAUCCCCUGCCGUAAAACCCCCAAUUUAUCAAGGUUGACCUCGAAUCGGUUCAGACAAACUCGCUAAAUUGAAGCAUCUUAGUCAGCGAAGGAAAAGAAACCAACAGGGAUUGCCCUA